GUGACGGCUGCUAAAUCAGCGGGAUCACACGUUGUCUCUCUAAUAACAACUGUCAAGCGUGUUUCCGCUUAUAUUUGACAUUCACCGAAUUCAAUGGCAGAUUAUGAUGGGCUUAUCACCGAUUGAUGUGGUAGUCAUUUUGGCUUUCGUGGGCGGAGUAACUAGUUUAGAAUGUUGACACUGUAUGUCCAAUGACUGCGGUUCGGACCCCUCCAACAACUACAAGGCCUCCAAGAGACCGUGUGCGGAACAACAGUCAUGCCAGAAAGUGUAUUUCGAAAUGAUAGCGGAAACGGACAAAGGCACAUUUAUUCACUCUUCCAUUGUACGAGAAUGUGCCUCGAGAUGCAAAUCACGUGAUGAUUUCGGGAAUUGUACUCAUCAAUUGGAUACAUAUUCACAUAUCAGGUGAAAUACAAUUGUGGCCUAUUACUGUUAACUCCUAUUGGCACCACAUUUGUUUGUCAAACUAGUUUUUCCCGGGAUAUAAAGUUGCUCGAUUGUAUUACCGCCAUAUGAAACAA
Molecule: long non-coding RNA, 524 nt
Organism: Dreissena polymorpha
Lineage: Eukaryota; Metazoa; Mollusca; Bivalvia; Myida; Dreissenidae
Exons: 3
Source: RefSeq, a predicted model, not a curated record